RNAcentral lists this ribosomal RNA (381 nucleotides) under Triticum aestivum (bread wheat). RNAcentral describes it as "partial small subunit ribosomal RNA". The record is from RNAcentral. Lineage: Eukaryota; Viridiplantae; Streptophyta; Magnoliopsida; Poales; Poaceae.
AUGCACGCAUACCUCACCGGCCCCGACUACCACUUCGACCUCGACCUCGUCGCGGGGAGGCCUCCGCCUACGCCCGCGCCGCCGCCGCCACCGGUGCCUAGGUCUUUGACAUCGAUGAGACGCUCCUCUCCAACUUCCCCUACUAUGCAUAGCACGGAUACGGGCUGGAGUUGUUCGACCACCAGGAGUUCGGCCGGUGGGUGGAGACGGGGGAGGCACCGACGAUUCUCUCCAGCCUCUGCCUCUACAGGGAGGUCCGCGACCUCGGCUUCAAGACCUUCCUGCUCAUCGGCUACAGCGAGGCCCACGAGGGUAGAAAGAGCUGCCAUGGAUCUUCUAUGUAUGCAAUCACAAAAGCCUUCUGUGUUGCUUUUGUCAUGA